AAACUAAGUUUUGUGGCAAGUGCGACGUCGCUUCAAGGCAUUUUCCAUAACCAUGGCUUGCUGCGCCUUUGGAUGCCAAAAUACUUCUAGCAAAUGCAAGCGACUCUUCUCGAUACCGUCCGGUAAGCGCGACGGGUUAAGAAGAAAGACGUGGAUUCAUCGAAUUGGCAGGAAGAACUUCAGACCAACACCCUCCACACGACUAUGCGAGGACCAUUUCACCGAGGACCAAUUAGAGCAUGUAUUUUUAAGCAAGCUCGGAAUUAAGAAGUUACGCCCUAAUACUGUACCAAGUAUAUUCAUACACCAGAAGUUACCGAAGCCUAGGAAGCCCCCUUUUCAACGUACAGAGGUAGUCAAUAAAAAACAAAUACUGUCGUCAUGUUACUCUGUUGGGUUUGCUGUACCCUAGAGGAAACUUUGUAUCAUGGUCAACCCAUUUCCUUUCAUUUCAGGUGCCUUAUUGUUGAGAAAUGCAGAUUAUCCAAAGGCCUCUCCAUUGAAAGCUGCAGAAGUCAGCCAUGGCGUGCCAGGGCUCUCCUUAAGUAGCCUUCAAAGCUCAGUUCAAGACUCGGGCUCUAGUACCCCGUUCGAAACUGUGGCUAAUACUGAAU
This is a long non-coding RNA of Dermacentor silvarum, 614 nucleotides long. RefSeq lists it as uncharacterized. The transcript is spliced from 4 exons. NCBI's taxonomy places the organism in Eukaryota, Metazoa, Arthropoda, Arachnida, Ixodida, Ixodidae. The record is from RefSeq and is a predicted model, not a curated record.